AUUGAACGCUGGCGGCAGGCUUAACACAUGCAAGUCGAACGAUGAUUAUCUAGCUUGCUAGAUAUGAUUAGUGGCGGACGGGUGAGUAACAUUUAGGAAUCUGCCUAGUAGUGGGGGAUAGCUCGGGGAAACUCGAAUUAAUACCGCAUACGACCUACGGGUGAAAGGGGGCGCAAGCUCUUGCUAUUAGAUGAGCCUAAAUCAGAUUAGCUAGUUGGUGGGGUAAAGGCCCACCAAGGCGACGAUCUGUAACUGGUCUGAGAGGAUGAUCAGUCACACCGGAACUGAGACACGGUCCGGACUCCUACGGGAGGCAGCAGUGGGGAAUAUUGGACAAUGGGGGCAACCCUGAUCCAGCCAUGCCGCGUGUGUGAAGAAGGCCUUUUGGUUGUAAAGCACUUUAAGCAGGGAGGAGAGGCUAAUGGUUAAUACCCAUUAGAUUAGACGUUACCUGCAGAAUAAGCACCGGCUAACCCUGUGCCAGCAGCCGCGGUAAUACAGAGGGUGCGAGCGUUAAUCGGAAUUACUGGGCGUAAAGCGAGUGUAGGUGGCUCAUUAAGUCACAUGUGAAAUCCCCGGGCUUAACCUGGGAACUGCAUGUGAUACUGGUGGUGCUAGAAUAUGUGAGAGGGAAGUAGAAUUCCAGGUGUAGCGGUGAAAUGCGUAGAGAUCUGGAGGAAUACCGAUGGCGAAGGCAGCUUCCUGGCAUAAUAUUGACACUGAGAUUCGAAAGCGUGGGUAGCAAACAGGAUUAGAUACCCUGGUAGUCCACGCCGUAAACGAUGUCUACUAGCCGUUGGGGUCCUUGAGACUUUAGUGGCGCAGUUAACGCGAUAAGUAGACCGCCUGGGGAGUACGGCCGCAAGGUUAAAACUCAAAUGAAUUGACGGGGGCCCGCACAAGCGGUGGAGCAUGUAGUUUAAUUCGAUGCAACGCGAAGAACCUUACCUGGUCUUGACAUAGUGAGAAUCCUGCAGAGAUGCGGGAGUGCCUUCGGGAAUUCACAUACAGGUGCUGCAUGGCUGUCGUCAGCUCGUGUCGUGAGAUGUUGGGUUAAGUCCCGCAACGAGCGCAACCCUUUUCCUUAUUUGCCAGCGGGUUAAGCCGGGAACUUUAAGGAUACUGCCAGUGACAAACUGGAGGAAGGCGGGGACGACGUCAAGUCAUCAUGGCCCUUACGACCAGGGCUACACACGUGCUACAAUGGUAGGUACAGAGGGUUGCUACCUCGCGAGAGGAUGCUAAUCUCAAAAAGCCGAUCGUAGUCCGGAUUGGAGUCUGCAACUCGACUCCAUGAAGUCGGAAUCGCUAGUAAUCGCGGAUCAGAAUGCCGCGGUGAAUACGUUCCCGGGCCU
This 1355-nucleotide ribosomal RNA is filed under the name uncultured bacterium. RNAcentral describes it as "bacterial SSU rRNA". It matches the Rfam family "Bacterial small subunit ribosomal RNA", at positions 28 to 1381 of the family's 1533-position model. The record is from RNAcentral.